AUUGAACGCUGGCGGCAGGCCUAACACAUGCCAGUCGAGCGAGCGGCGGAAGGGUGAGUAAUGUCUGGGAAACUGACUGAUGGAGGGGGAUAACUAAUGGAAACGGUAGCUAAUACCGCAUACCAUCAGAUGUGCCCAGAUGGGAUUAGCUAGUAGGUGGGGGAACGGCUCACCUAGGCGACGAUCCAUGGCUGGUCUGAGAGGAUGACCAGCCCCACUGGACCUGAGCCACGGUCCAGACUCCUACGGGAGGCAGCAGUGGGGAAUAUUGCACAAUGGGCGCAAGCCCGAUGCAGCCAUGCCGCUUUUGUGAAGAAGGCCUUCGGGUUGUAAAGCACUUUCAGCGGGGAGGCGUUACCCGCAGAAGAAGCACCGGCUAACUCCGUGCCAGCAGCCGCGGUAAUUC
RNAcentral lists this ribosomal RNA (406 nucleotides) under uncultured bacterium. Its description in RNAcentral is "partial 16S ribosomal RNA". It matches the Rfam family "Bacterial small subunit ribosomal RNA", at positions 30 to 526 of the family's 1533-position model. The record is from RNAcentral.